GAUGAACGCUAGCGGGAGGCCUAACACAUGCAAGCCGAGCGGUAUUGUUUCUUCGGAAAUGCGAGAGCGGCGUACGGGUGCGUAACACGUGUGCAACCUGCCUUUAUCUGGGGGAUAGCCUUUCGAAAGGAAGAUUAAUACUCCAUAAUAUAUUGAACGGCAUCGUUUAAUAUUGAAAGCUCCGGCGGAUAGAGAUGGGCACGCGCAAGAUUAGCUAGUUGGUGAGGUAACGGCUCACCAAGGCGAUGAUCUUUAGGGGGCCUGAGUGGGUGAUCCCCCACACUGGUACUGAGACACGGACCAGACUCCUACGGGAGGCAGCAGUGAGGAAUAUUGGUCAAUGGGUGCAAGCCUGAACCAGCCAUCCCGCGUGAAGGACGACUGCCCUAUGGGUUGUAAACUUCUUUUGUAUAGGGAUAAACCUACCCUCGAGAGGGUAGCUGAAGGUACUAUACGAAUAAGCACCGGCUAACUCCGUG
Molecule: ribosomal RNA, 479 nt
Filed under: uncultured bacterium
Lineage: Bacteria
Description: partial 16S ribosomal RNA
Rfam family: Bacterial small subunit ribosomal RNA
Source: RNAcentral